Molecule: ribosomal RNA, 342 nt
Filed under: uncultured bacterium
Lineage: Bacteria
Description: bacterial SSU rRNA
Rfam family: Bacterial small subunit ribosomal RNA
Source: RNAcentral
GAUAAACGCUGGCGGCGCACAUAAGACAUGCAAGUCGAACGGAAGUCGUUACGAAACGGAGUGAAGAUUUAUCUGAAUGAAGUUUUGUAACAAUGGCUUUAGUGGCGGACUGGUGAGUAACACGUAAGCAACCUGCCUAUUAGAGGGGAAUAACAAUGAGAAAUCAUUGCUAAUACCGCAUAAGCUUGUAGUAUCGCAUGGUACAGCAAGAAAAGGAGUAAUCCGCUAAUAGAUGGGCUUGCGGCUGAUUAGCUAGUUGGUAAGGUAAUGGCUUACCAAGGCAACGAUCAGUAGCCGGGCUGAGAGGUUGAACGGCCACAUUGGGACUGAGAUACGGCCCAG